GAUGAAGAACGUAGCGAAAUGCGAUAAGUAAUGUGAAUUGCAGAAUUCAGUGAAUCAUCGAAUCUUUGAACGCACAUUGCGCCCGCCAGUAUUCUGGCGGGCAUGCCUGUCCGAGCGUCAUUUCAACCCUCAGGCCCUGGUUGCCUGGUGUUGGGGCGCCGCGCACCCUCUGCGGGCGCGGGCCCCGAAAGUCAGUGGCGGGCUCGCCAGGACUCCGAGCGCAGUAAUUUUCUCUCGCUGUGGAGCGCCUGGUGGGUUACCAGCCGUAAAACACCCCAAAUUCUAAAGGUUGACCUCGGAUCAGGUAGGAAUACCCGCUGAACUUAAGCAUAUCAGUAAGCGGAGGA
RNAcentral lists this unclassified non-coding RNA (347 nucleotides) under soil metagenome. Its description in RNAcentral is "partial contains 5.8S ribosomal RNA, internal transcribed spacer 2, and large subunit ribosomal RNA". The stretch from base 1 to 120 matches the Rfam family "5.8S ribosomal RNA", at positions 35 to 154 of the family's 154-position model. The record is from RNAcentral.